This 73-nucleotide transfer RNA is filed under the name Neotoma lepida (desert woodrat). It matches the Rfam family "tRNA". Rfam says of the family: Transfer RNA (tRNA) molecules are approximately 80 nucleotides in length. Their secondary structure includes four short double-helical elements and three loops (D, anti-codon, and T loops). Lineage: Eukaryota; Metazoa; Chordata; Mammalia; Rodentia; Cricetidae. The record is from Rfam by way of RNAcentral.
AGNGGUGGAGCUCAGCUGGUAGGGUGCCUGCUUGGCAUGCACAAGGCCCUGGGUUCAAUUCCCAGCACAGCCU